Alligator mississippiensis (American alligator) is the source of this 2650-nucleotide long non-coding RNA. RefSeq lists it as uncharacterized. Lineage: Eukaryota; Metazoa; Chordata; Crocodylia; Alligatoridae. The transcript has 4 exons. The record is from RefSeq and is a predicted model, not a curated record.
GAGGCAUUUCAACUCAACUCUCUGUUGCAGUUUUUAUUUCAAAGAGCACAACUUCUCUGAUUGUAAGACCAUUGAUGAGCUCCAACUGAGUGGAGAAGCAGCACACUUUGAAGUAAACUACUGCAAACAGCUGAGUAGAUGGUUCUUUGGCAGCCUGCUGUGAGUGAAAUAGAUUGUGAACUACCUGGCGAUGAAUGAUUUGGGUCCUACUGUAUCAGUCUUUCUAACAGGUAGCCAAUCUGAAAGGGACAACCUUUCCCAAGUUUUCAGUGACCAAGUCCUGAAGGAGCAAGGGUUUCAUAAUACCUGCAUGUAGGAUCCUCUGCUCAAACCAGAGUUCAAGCAAGAGGAACCCAAUCCAAGGGGCAGUAAUACAGCUGCGGGAUAUUGGUAGAUGUGAUUGGCCACCAUUGGAAGGAUAUGCAUAGAGUAACCAUCACAGAAGUGAGAGACGAGUCCUUUCAAACAUGGAAGAUGUAUGAAGAGCAGAAAGGGGAAAAAAAAGUUUGUUCAGCAGAAGUUUUGUAAUGGUGAAGAGAGAAGAAUCCAAAUUGUCUUUUAUUCAGAGCAUCACACAAAGUAAAAAGAAAUAUUGCGGGAACUGGAAGAAAAGGUUACAAAGACUCAAAGCAGGGGGUGGAAGAAAGGUUUUCUUGGCCCUCAGAAGAAAGAUGGAUGGAAGAAACUGUUACUGAGACUAAUAAAAGGCGUAUUCUGUUGUAGGGUAUUGAAAAGUAAUAAGAUGAAUGCAGAAUGGGAUUGUUUUCUUUAGCAUUAGCUUGCUUCAACUGCAUUCCUUCUACUAGAUAAAAGUGAAACGAAUCUACGUAAAAAUAAACUACAAGUAUUAUUUCAAAUUUUUUAAAAGCGUGUUGCAACUUACAUUAAAAUAGAGUUCAAAGACUGUUUUUUCUCCCACUUAAAUCAAUGAGACGAUAUUCCUUUCUCAACUGGCCAAGACCUCUCAAGGUGACAAAGUCUGUCUAUGGGAUGUCAUAUGUAGCAAAGACCCAAUAUGAGAGGGAAAAAGUUAUUCAUUAGAGACGUAUUUCUUUAGUAUAAAGAACUUGGUCAUUUCAGUUUUAUUAUUUUAUACCAACGUAAAUAAAUAUUAGCAACAGAACUGAGGGGAUCCUGCAUUUCUAUGUAAUGCACAUGUUUUUGAGAUUAAGGAAUUUGUUACGUGUUACUCCUGUGAGCUGUUUUGUGUUAGUGGUUCCUUGAGUUUGCAGCAGUCACGCAUUCAGGCCAACAGGGGCCUGGAAGACUGGAAAAUAAGAAUCCCUCCCCUUCUCUCUCAUUCUGGGCUCCACCACUGCUCUCGGGGAUCCCUCUGUACCCCCUGCUCCCAGCACCCCUCCCCCCCCAAUCCACUCCCCAGGGCUCCCUGCCCCCUUCUCCCCCCUUGCUUGUGGUUGCCUGUGCUCUCUGUCCCAGGGAAGCAGCCAGGGGAGGAUUAACUUGCCAGCCCCACCCCCACAGCUGCUGGGCUGAUGCUGUCUUCUGGGCUGAGUUCCCAAGACAGCAGCAGUGUCAGUGACAUCCAGGCAGGCAGAUUAACCCUUAUGUGCCUGCUCCCCUGGGACAGACAGCAUAGGCAGCCACAAGUAAGCAGGGGGGAUGGGGUGGCACUGAGAAAGGCUCUGGAGGCCUCAGAGAGAUUGGGGCUCAGGAACUGAAGUGGGCCCAAUCUGGGUCAUCAAGGAAGGGGCACAGGGGUGUUUACGCUAAAGUGUAACCUAGAGUGGCUACACUUUAGUGUAACAUAAGCUGGGUAACACAGAUCAGAGAUAAUCCUGCCCAAAGUGGUGCAAUUUUGACCUACCUAAUGAGUGUUUAAAACUAGUUUUAAGUGUUACUGUGCAGACAGUCCAGGUGUUAAGAGCUCCAGGAACUACCCAAAAUUACCGUGUAACUAGCACCUAAAAUGACAGACAUGUUUUGGGUUUGCUCAUUCACACUGAUGUUGGCUGCUUCCAUGAAGCCAGCUCGGAGCUGCUUUGGAGCAGAUGAAAUGGAGGCAUGGAACAACAGCUAGACUCCAGUGUAGUGCACUACUGGGAUCGCAAUAAGAAAACCAUGUAAAAGGGCAAAAACCUUCUCCAAUAAAUAUCAGAGACUCUGUGUUGUAAAGUACGACACACAGGCCUGAAUUCUGCAAACACUUAAACAUGUGCUUAUCUUCAUGCAUAUGAGCAAGCUUAUUUCAAUCAAUGGAUCUAUUCUCAUGGAUAGCCUUAAGCAUAAGUGUUUGAAGGAACUGGGUUUAACUUGAAUGCAAAAAUGUGCACAUUGCAGAAACUCAAAAUAGCAUUCAGAAGAUAAUUUUAAGUUUUCAAAUUUGAUGUUUUAUGCAUAUAAAUCCCCAAUUGACACACAACCUGGAAUAAAUCUGUAAUUUCCAGGCAGGUCUUUCAGCUACUUCUAAGGCUAAUUUGGAUGUGAAUGAAACAGAGCUUCUAAUUUUUACCUCAUCUUGCAAAGUUGAAAACCUGUAAAGUAUAUUUAUCUAAUCUGUUUAAUCCUCUCUCCCAUUCCUCCUCUUUCAGUGCAACUGAUUGUACCAGAGCUGAGAAAUAAUAUAAUUUAAAGGUAGAAAGUGUAUUGCUAUGUUCUAUUGCUACUGUCCUAUAUAAAAAGUUUUAUUCAU